This is a non-coding RNA of Bubalus bubalis (water buffalo), 787 nucleotides long. NCBI's taxonomy places the organism in Eukaryota, Metazoa, Chordata, Mammalia, Artiodactyla, Bovidae. The record is from the annotation of a RefSeq genome assembly.
CCAGGCUCCUCUGUACAUGGGAUUUUCCAGGCAAGAAUACUGGAGUGGGUUGCCAUUUUCUCCUCCAGGGCAUCUCCUUUUUUAACACUCCCUACUCAGAACAAAGUACAGAUGAGGUUAUUAAAUAGCCUCAGAAUUGUAGUGAUUCUUCUUGGUUCACAGAUUCUGACUGAUGAUGUCAUGACACAGAAGAAAAUGCAAAAAAGGCAGCCUAUAAUCAAUUCCUGUGAGUGUCACACUUGAGGUAACUGGCCUGAGACAAGCCUCAUUUUGGCCAUGGCUUUGCAGAGCACUCUGGAAGCAGUGUGGCUGGGUCUCCUCCUCAGCUCUCUCUGGAAGGUUGCAGGGAGCAAGGAGCAAGUAUUUCAGUCUCCUACUGUGGACUCUUUGGAGGGAGCUGUGGCAGAAAUUUCCUGUAAUCACUCUAUAUCCAAUGUUUAUGGCUUCUUCUGGUACCUUCACUUCCCAGGAUUUGCACCAAGACUCCUCAUUAAGGGCUCAAAGCCUUCUCAACAGGGACGCUACAACAUGACAUAUGAGAGGUUCUCUUCAUCACUGCUCAUCCUCCAGGUGCAGCCGGCAGAUACGGGGGUUUACUAUUGUGCUCUGAGGCACACAGAAGCAGGGCCUCCAUGAAGAGCUGAACAGAAACAAGGAGAGGUCAGAGCAUUUGCAGGAUGUGGAAGAAAGAUGAACAGUAAGUGCUUCCCCUCCUACUCGCAAUUCAGCCUUCCCCCAAGCUUUUCCAUUUGCACUAUCAGAAAAAUCAUUUGAGUCCAAAACACUA